UACGGCGGUCAUAGCGUAGGGGAAACGCCCGGUCCCAUUCCGAACCCGGAAGCUAAGCCCUCCAGCGCCGAUGGUACUGCACGGGAGACUGUGUGGGAGAGUAGGACGCCGCCGGAA
This 117-nucleotide ribosomal RNA is filed under the name Sanguibacter antarcticus. The record is from RNAcentral. Lineage: Bacteria; Bacillati; Actinomycetota; Actinomycetes; Micrococcales; Sanguibacteraceae. RNAcentral also lists the same sequence under 2 other names.